Molecule: non-coding RNA, 418 nt
Organism: Paramuricea clavata
Lineage: Eukaryota; Metazoa; Cnidaria; Anthozoa; Malacalcyonacea; Plexauridae
Source: the annotation of a GenBank genome assembly
CACAACACAUGAAAGCUUACGAGCAGUAUGGAACUUUCAAUGUCAUGACAAUAUUCUGGCGAGCGUGAUAAAUAUAAACUAUUGUUUAACCUUCAGGUUAAAUUUUUUAAUUAUUUUUAUUUCUAUUUAGUCGUUAACUGUCGUGUCUAAGUAUAAUAGUAAAGUGUCGAUAUAUCUUUAUGUCAAAUUAACUAAUUAAGCAAACAUGGGAGAACACUCUCCUUCGCAGAAUCUAAAAUUCAAAUAUGUUGUAGUGGUAACAUAGGACACAUAGGGAUAGUAAAGAAUUGUAAUGGUAACGUAGGGAUAGUAGAGGACAUUCAGUGGAUAUUGACUAACAAUUACGUAAUUUGUCUCCCACGUACUAGUCAGUACAAAUUGUAAGGCUCUAUCGGAGGAGAGUGUCAGGAGUGUUAUA